Molecule: long non-coding RNA, 1465 nt
Filed under: Canis lupus familiaris (dog)
Lineage: Eukaryota; Metazoa; Chordata; Mammalia; Carnivora; Canidae
Description: lncRNA (ENSCAFG00845013909.1)
Source: RNAcentral
GAGAUGAGAUUUGUUUUUUUAAUUUCCAAAAAACGGUGGCUGCCUACCUCACUGGAAUGUAAUACUGGAAGAUCUGGCCCUGAACAGUUCGAUUACCUUCCUUUCACAUGUACAGUGCACUAAGUUCUGCGGCUUUAGGGCUGGCUGCUUUCUGAGGGUUUGCCCUUCCGUCACCUAAAGGGGAUUCUCAGUCAUUAAGUGGAAUGUACGAACUACUGUCAUGAAGCCAUUUUUUGUUUUUUGUUUUUGUUUUUUUUUGAUUUGUUUGUCUUCCAAGAUGAUGGCGAAGCGUGGGGCAAAUAGGAAUGAAAGCAUCUUACUAAUAGUUGCUGAUCGGCAGGUAGGUGGCCAAGGGGGAAGUGCAUUUCUUCUGGGCCUGCUGUCAGGGGGAGACCUGGCUUCCUGAUGGGAGCAUGGUAUGCUUCCCCGCCAAAGCCUCCUUAUUUGGGGGUUCUCCCCAGAGACAGAGAAGAACAUUUAGGGGAAGCAUGAGCUCAGAAGCCAACACCGCGCCUGCUUUAACACUUUUCCCCCAUUCGACCUUUCCCUUUCCUCCCAGAACUAUUGAGAUUUGUAAUAGGUGCCAGAGUCCCUUCACACACAUUUUUUGGACAAAGUGCGUGUGUAAACCAUAGCUCUAAGUACCCAGCUUCUUUCCUGCUUCGUGCCCCCCCCCCAUCUCUCUAUCUCCCCUUGGCACUUCGUCGCUGCGUGUGGUGAACCACCCAGCUAACCGUUUGCCUCUUCUCGGUCCUCUCGCUGUCCCUGCCUUAUCAUUGAGUGAGCGGCUCGGGGGAACGAGUCUGCCCCCUUCCAGCUAUCCUCCCAGAUUAGCUCCGAGGCUCAAUUAGUGCUUCGGAUGCACUUUGAUCUGCUCUGAUGAAAGGUGCUUCCGAAGAAAGAAGCAAUAGGAGCCUUUAUUGGAGGUAAUAAUUUCAUAUUCUUUCAUAUGGCUAUUGGGAAACUUUUAAUUGAAGCAUAAAAGUAAUUCCUCACUAUCUAAUCCUCUAAUCUCUCAUCUAUAGUAAAUACUACCUUUCUCUAUCUCUAAACUACCGUUUUUUCAUGUGAGUAAAAAAAGUUUUUAAAAACAAUCAAUUGAAAGCUUUUAAGAGGGCAGAGUGCCAAAGGCAAGCACAUGUGCACAGUGGCACCACCACCCCCCCCACCUCUGUCAGGGGGGGGCAGAACCUCCCCCCAGGAGCCAUGUAUGCAACGAUGGACGAGACCAGCUAGCUUCUCUGCCGCCUGUCUUUAUCAUGAGUAAAGAUUGUGCUUACACCACCAUCAGAGAGCCCGGGCCUUUACAUCCACGUGGGUUUUAGGAGGGGAAAUAAAACAGCUUGUUUGUGGCAUCCAGUGUCUCCGGCAUAAAAGUCAUGUUGGAAUUAAAAUUCACCAGUGGGUGUUAGAUGAGGGGAAAUAAACAGAACAGCUUGUUUGGUGCAAUCCCAGUGUCUCCCGC